Molecule: ribosomal RNA, 222 nt
Filed under: Triticum aestivum (bread wheat)
Lineage: Eukaryota; Viridiplantae; Streptophyta; Magnoliopsida; Poales; Poaceae
Description: partial small subunit ribosomal RNA
Source: RNAcentral
AUAAAUAUCUUAAGUUGGAACUGCCGGGGAGCGGGGAAUACCCGGACAGUUUGAGAACUUGCGACACUUUGCCAGUCGCAUUCCCCCACUCUGGUCUUCUUAUGUGAGACGAGGCAGAAAGAAGAAAACUUGAGAAGACUAAGCCGGUUGGGGUUGAAAGGUUUUUCUUGUGUGGAUAGUAAUGGGCUGAGUGGUGGUCUGGCACUGUUUUGGCAUGAAUCA